ACUCAAAUGAAUUGACGGGGACCCGCACAAGCGGUGGAGCGUGUUGUUUAAUUCGAUGGUAAGCGAAGAACCUUACCAGGGCUUGACAUCCUUGGAAUUUUGGCGAAAGCCGAGAGUGCCUUUGGGAGCCAAGUGACAGGUGAUGCAUGGCCGUCUUCAGCUCGUGUCGUGAGAUGUUAGGUUAAGUCCUUUAACGAGCGCAACCCUUAUGGUUAGUUGAAUUUUUCUAGCCAGACUGCCCCGGCAACGGGGAGGAAGGAGGGGAUGAUGUCAGGUCAGUAUUUCCCUUACGCCCUGGGCGACAAACGCGCUACAAUGGCCAGUACAACGGGCAGCCAAGUCGCGAGACGGAGCAAAUCCCAACAAAACUGGUCCCAGUUCGGAUUGCAGGCUGAAACUCGCCUGCAUGAAGUCGGAAUCGCUAGUAAUCGCAGAUCAGCAUGCUGCGGUGAAUACGUUCCCGGGUCUUGUACACACCGCCCGU
Molecule: ribosomal RNA, 484 nt
Filed under: uncultured bacterium
Lineage: Bacteria
Description: partial 16S ribosomal RNA
Rfam family: Bacterial small subunit ribosomal RNA
Source: RNAcentral